CCUACGGGAGGCAGCAGUGAGGAAUAUUGGUCAAUGGGCGAGAGCCUGAACCAGCCAAGUCGCGUGAAGGAUGACGGCCCUAUGGGUUGUAAACUUCUUUUGUCAGGGAGCAAUUUGGUCCACGUGUUGGCUUAUCGAGAGUACCUGAAGAAAAAGCAUCGGCUAACUCCGUGCCAGCAGCCGCGGUAAUACGGAGGAUGCGAGCGUUAUCCGGAUUUAUUGGGUUUAAAGGGUGCGUAGGCGGAACAUCAAGUCAGCGGUAAAAUUUCGGGGCUCAACCCCGUCGUGCCGUUGAAACUGGGGUGCUUGAGUGGGCGAGAAGUAUGCGGAAUGCGUGGUGUAGCGGUGAAAUGCAUAGAUAUCACGCAGAACUCCGAUUGCGAAGGCGGCAUACCGGCGCCCAACUGACGCUGAGGCACGAAAGCGUGGGUAUCGAACAGGAUUAGAUACCCGAGUAGUC
RNAcentral lists this ribosomal RNA (460 nucleotides) under uncultured bacterium. RNAcentral's name for it is "partial 16S ribosomal RNA". It matches the Rfam family "Bacterial small subunit ribosomal RNA", at positions 338 to 795 of the family's 1533-position model. The record is from RNAcentral.